RNAcentral lists this ribosomal RNA (468 nucleotides) under uncultured bacterium. Its description in RNAcentral is "partial 16S ribosomal RNA". It matches the Rfam family "Bacterial small subunit ribosomal RNA", at positions 28 to 507 of the family's 1533-position model. The record is from RNAcentral.
GAUGAACGCUGGCGGCGUGCUUAACACAUGCAAGUCGAACGGAAAGGCCCAAGCUUGCUUGGGUACUCGAGUGGCGAACGGGUGAGUAACACGUGGGUGAUCUGCCCUGCACUUCGGGAUAAGCCUGGGAAACUGGGUCUAAUACCGGAUAGGACGAUGGUUUGGAUGCCAUUGUGGAAAGUUUUUUCGGUGUGGGAUGAGCUCGCGGCCUAUCAGCUUGUUGGUGGGGUAAUGGCCUACCAAGGCGUCGACGGGUAGCCGGCCUGAGAGGGUGUACGGCCACAUUGGGACUGAGAUACGGCCCAGACUCCUACGGGGGGCAGCAGGGGGGAAUAUUGCACAAUGGGAGCAAGCCUGAGGCAGCGACGCCGCGUGGGGGAUGACGGCCUUCGGGUUGUAAACUCCUUUCGCUAGGGACGAAGCGUUUUUGUGACGGUACCUGGAGAAGAAGCACCGGCUAACUACGUG